Molecule: long non-coding RNA, 1968 nt
Organism: Populus nigra (black poplar)
Lineage: Eukaryota; Viridiplantae; Streptophyta; Magnoliopsida; Malpighiales; Salicaceae
Exons: 2
Source: RefSeq, a predicted model, not a curated record
AUUUCUUGCAAAGCACCGAAACGGGCUUGGUCGGGGUUUCUUUAUUAUUAUUAUUAUUAUCCUCCCCGUUGCCCCGAAGAAGGUUAAGGCAUAUUUUUGGCAACCAUUACAAGUAAGGCUGCAAAAGACCUCCAUAAAGGGCAAUUCACAUCACAUGACACUUUCUGUUAACAUGAAGACGUAAAAUCCGGGGUACUUUUACCAUUCUUCGACCAAAUGACCAAAGCACCCCUGCUGCUUCUCACGAAAUAGCCAUGGAAGAUGGAGCUGCCUUUCAGCCAUGAAAGUGGACCACCCAAAAGUAGUAGCAAUAUUUGACCAAAGGGUCAAAGCUGAAAGCCCCAUUCAUGUACAGUACUGAUUGCAUUUGGCCCCAUAAUUUCUCUAGACCCUAUGGAAGAAGAGAAGCUGGUUAAGGUAACUCCCUAGAAUCCACAAACGAAUGUUAGGCCUAGCUAGAAGCACCGUUGUGGAGGUUUUCGGUGGCUGUCUCGAGAAAUUUAACCUCGACCCUGGUGCCUGUUUGGUCAGGAGUCUCUUAGUCUUAAAUAAUUUGUACACAACUUUAAUAAACUAGGGGGGGAUGAUGCAUUAAAAAAUAAUUACUUUGCUUAAGUCAUGGAUCCCGACAUGGAGAAGGGUAAUAGUGGAAUUUUGAAAAGAAGAUAUAGAGGAGGCAUGGAAAAAGGAAGAAAGAGGACAGAGAUUGCUUGCGCAAAUCUAGCUAAUCUGGGCUUCUGAUACAAGCAAGUGAAGUGAAGUGAAUGGAGGGUGUUGAGGCAGAGAAGUGCAUGCUACUACAACCAAGAAUCCCAUGUUGAAAACCGUACAAAAAAAAAAACACACACCACUCUCUUUACUUCUUGGCCACAUUAUGUUUUAGACAAGACUCUCGCUAACUAUUGUAGCCAGUAAGUAGAUGUACUCGCGAGGCAAAGCCCUCAUGUUUUCAGCUUCUUUGCACCAUCGCAUUCCUUCUUUAUAUCUUUUUAAGAUAGGACAAGGAGAACCCGUCAAGGGCUUUUCUCAGAGGACAGAAGAAAUUAGAAGAGAAAACGUACAGACAACCAAUCCCAUGUCCAUGGUUUUGCUGCUGGUGGUGGUGGUGGUGGUGGUGGUGGUGGUGCUUCUUCUGCGGGUGGAACAUGGUUAGGGAUGUUGGUGCUGUAUUUACUUGGGGCACUGAGGCAUGUGUGGCCUUUGUCAUGAGAAUAUUUGCUAAGCAAAUGGGAGUUUUAGGCUUGAGUAGCAGCUGGUCUGGAUACACAAGAAAAAUCAUUUCUUCUGUCCAAUCAUUGCAAAAAACUCUCUUCUUCUUCUUCUUUUUCGUCUUCUGCUUCCUUGGCUUUUGGUAAAUGGUGUCGGGGUUUGGUGGUGAUAUUGGCUAGAAGGCUCAAUCUCUCUAUUGUUAUGAUAAAGGACUACUUCCUAAUCUCUUGCUUUCACUUUUGUUACUAGCUUUUCUUUGUAUUUCUUCUUUGGCUGAUGAUAUUGUUGAUAUGUAAUUGGCAUCCAAAUGUUCUUGUGGAAGUGCAACAACAAGUUAAUUGGCAUGGUACCUUUUGAUUAUUAUUUCUUCCAAGCAUACUAGCUGUCUGAUGUUCCAAGUUUUGUGCCUAAUUGACUGCUCGUUCAAGCAUAGAACAAACCCCCAUAGAGAAAGGGGAGAGAAUUUAAUUGCAGCAAAUGGAGGGCACCUAACUCAACAAAUUCGGUGAGUAGAGCUUUAAAAUCUCAGGGUCCCCUAAAGCUACAGACUUCAAUGUUUCAGCACUGUUUCGUUGUCAGUCUUUGCUUCUGUCCCUUUUGUUAAUUAAUUUUUCUCGGGAAAUGUAGGGGCUUGAUAGUUGUAGUAUAUGUUCAAAUCCUCAAGGAAUUGUUAUGUCACCUUCAUCCAUGUGUACAUACAAUCGAGGAAAAACAUCAGUUAUAUAGUAAAAUUUAUUAAUGACAUUUCCCCUUGCAUGA